GCAUGUGUUAAAUAGUCUCAGAGAUUUGACAAAAAUUUUAAAUGCCUUUCUCAGACUACUGGGGAGGGAUAAUGGAGCUAGAAGUUUCACAUACAAGUGCUAAACAAAUUUCCUAAACCAUUUCUUCUCCAACUUUGAAUAGUUUUGAAAUACAUCUUUAUUAUUAUUUUUAGAUUUUACUAGAAUGCAUGUUAUAAUACCAUUAAAAUGUGAGGAAAAUUAAUAUAUUUUUCAGUAAAUAAGUAGUAAAUAUUCUUCUGAUAGUUUCUAAGAGCACUCAUAUAAGUGCUGAUAUUUAUUUAAAUUAGUAUAGGUUUAUAAAUAGCCAAGAAAGGACUUUACAUUUUUAUGAAAAUACACCAGUUUUCCAAGCAUUAAAAAUCAUUGUGUUUAGCUGAGUCUCAUGUAAUAGAAACACAGAUAUAUCUACUUGGUAGCUAUUUAGGUGCUUGUAUUGCUUCCUUUAAAAUUUUGGCAUAGUUUUAUCUCUUUAUUUACAGAGAUUUUUCUUUUAAUUUCAAAGACAGUUGUAAGUCACAUUUGUUUACACAUGAGAAACUUAAUGAUUGCAUUUAAUUUCCAGAGAUUAAACUCUUAUUGCAUGUCCCUUUUUGUAUUGUGAAUUUUGUACAGAGCAAAGAUAAUAUUUCUAAUUAAGUCUGAAAAGGAACUUCAACAUAAGGAUUUCUUUUCUAAAAAUAAAUGAAAAUAAAAAUGUCAGUAUGCUGUCUGGUUGAAUUAACUAGUGGUCAUGACUCAUUACAGCGCUUCUUCAAAGAUGGUUUCUAUAGCAUGCUUUUUAUCUUUUAAUAGUAGCUCGUUAGCUUCUUGAAAGAGGUACGAAAAAAGUGGCUGGAGCCAUUGCCAUUUAAAGGGCAAUCAGAACUCAAGACAUAGCAUAUUUAAGAUGACAGUGUAUGCCAGGUUGGGAAAGAAUGUUUUUUUCCUUUUGUAGGAA
RNAcentral lists this long non-coding RNA (958 nucleotides) under Bos taurus (domestic cattle). Its description in RNAcentral is "long non-coding RNA NONBTAT000636". Lineage: Eukaryota; Metazoa; Chordata; Mammalia; Artiodactyla; Bovidae. The record is from RNAcentral.